GACGAACGCUGGCGGCGUGCUUAACACAUGCAAGUCGAACGGAAAGGCCCUGCUUUUGUGGGGUGCUCGAGUGGCGAACGGGUGAGUAACACGUGAGUAACCUGCCCUUGACUUUGGGAUAACUUCAGGAAGCUGGGGCUAAUACCGGAUAGGAGCUCCUGCUGCAUGGUGGGGGUUGGAAAGUUUCGGCGGUUGGGGAUGGACUCGCGGCUUAUCAGCUUGUUGGUGGGGUAGUGGCUUAUCAAGGCUUUGACGGGUAGCCGGCCUGAGAGGGUGACCGGCCACAUUGGGACUGAGAUACGGCCCAGACUCCUACGGGAGGCAGCAGUGGGGAAUAUUGCACAAUGGGCGGAAGCCUGAUGCAGCAACGCCGCGUGCGGGAUGACGGCCUUCGGGUUGUAAACCGCUUUCGCCUGUGACGAAGCGUGAGUGACGGUAAUGGGUAAAGAAGCACCGGCUAACUACGUG
Molecule: ribosomal RNA, 468 nt
Filed under: uncultured bacterium
Lineage: Bacteria
Description: partial 16S ribosomal RNA
Rfam family: Bacterial small subunit ribosomal RNA
Source: RNAcentral